UACGUAGGUGACAAGCGUUAUCCGGAAUUACUGGGCGUAAAGCGCACGUAGGCGGCUACUCAAGUCAGAGGUGAAAGCCCAGGGCUCAACCCUGGAACUGCCUUUGAAACUAGGUAGCUAGAAUCUUGGAGAGGUCAGUGGAAUUCCGAGUGUAGAGGUGAAAUUCGUAGAUAUUCGGAAGAACACCAGUGGCGAAGGCGACUGACUGGCUUGGUAUUGACGCUGAGGUGCGAAAGCGUGGGGAGCAAACAGG
This 253-nucleotide ribosomal RNA is filed under the name uncultured bacterium. RNAcentral describes it as "partial 16S ribosomal RNA". It matches the Rfam family "Bacterial small subunit ribosomal RNA", at positions 524 to 776 of the family's 1533-position model. The record is from RNAcentral.